Molecule: long non-coding RNA, 1109 nt
Filed under: Panax ginseng (ginseng)
Lineage: Eukaryota; Viridiplantae; Streptophyta; Magnoliopsida; Apiales; Araliaceae
Description: long non-coding RNA (PGIN_LNC003877)
Source: RNAcentral
AUAUAAUUGCUAUUACUUGUUGGGCACUCAAAUGCUCAUCCUUGCUUAAACUAAAUGUUUUCAGUUACGUACGAUCGACCUGAAGGCUCAGGCACGAACAAGGGAAAAGAAAAGCUGUUCGAAUGAGAUUUAGUAUGAGUUAAUGGUUAUAGUUAGUAAGACAAUGGAAUCUAUUGUCAAGUAUUGUAAAGAAUGUAUUUGAAGGUCAUGUACCUGGGGAAGUAAACUUUGAUGUAUGUAAAUUAAGUUCGAAUGUAUUAUUAUUUAGUAUUAUUCAGCUUAAAGAAAUGGUAUCGUGGAGAACCGAGUUCGGGUUUCAAGUACCUAGAUUUGGGGUCGCCACAAUAUGUACUCCUUGUGAAUAAAUUGAGAUGUGCAUUAUGUGCUAUAUUGUGAUAUAAAUCUAUUGAAUCAAGUUAAUGAUUGAUGUUAAUUGAGUUAUGAAAACUUACUAUAUUCAUGAUAUGAGAUAUAUGAUAAGAAUGAAGCAGGUAUAAUUGCUGAGUAUGAGUAUUAUGAUUCCUGAAUAAAUGCAAUGUAUAAAAAAUAUGAAUUAUGUAUAAACUACGAAGUAUGAAUAAUUUAAGUUGUGUUUAAAAUGUUAAAAAUGUGUUAUGUGAUAACUUUUAAACCUGCUUGGCAACGAAGUUGCUCACCCUUGCUAUAAAUAAUUAUUUUCAGCUAAACCAGAGUGGAUCGAAUGAUUAAGGAUAGACAAAGGAGAAAGGAAGAAGUACUUAUUGAAUUUGUUCGUAUAGAUCUAGCUAUGCUAGAUAAUGUUCAUAUGACAUAUUGUAAUUGCAUAGUCAAAGAACAUUGUAUAGAAGAAUAGUUAAGUGUAGUUGUGAGUUCAUGGAUACUUAAAAUCAAUAUAUCCAAGUGAAAAAUAUUAUUUAUAAAUUGAAAUGUAUAAUUUAAAUCAAUAUGAUUUAAAAGUGUAACAUCAGGCUGUAAAGGUUGCAGAUUCUAGAAAUAGAAGGAAUUAAUGUAUUAAUUGGUAUCAAAGUGAGGUUGUAUUCAUUAUUUUAUGAAUAAAGGUUAUAAAUAUUCAUAUGAAGGUUGUAUAGUAAUGCACCAGGUCCGAGGUUCAAGGGACCCGGAUUUGGGGG